GAUUAACGCUGGCGGCGUGCAUGAAACAUGCAAGUCGAGCGCGGUGUUCAGUGGGGUAACCCGCUGAACAUCUAGCGGCGCACGGGUGAGUAACACGUGAGCAACCUACCUUCGAGUCGGGGAUAGCCCUGGGAAACCAGGAUUAAUACCCGAUGUGGUCACGACGAGACAUCUCGAUGUGAGUAAAGGCGCAAGCCGCUCGAUGACGGGCUCGCGGCCUANAGCUUGUUGGUGGGGUAACGGCCUACCAAGGCGAUGAUGGGUAGCUGGUCUGAGAGGACGAUCAGCCACACUGGGACUGAGACACGGCCCAGACUCCUACGGGAGGCAGCAGUUAGGAAUUUUCCGCAAUGGGCGAAAGCCUGACGGAGCAACGCCGCGUGGGUGAUGAAGACC
This 396-nucleotide ribosomal RNA is filed under the name uncultured bacterium. RNAcentral's name for it is "bacterial SSU rRNA". It matches the Rfam family "Bacterial small subunit ribosomal RNA", at positions 28 to 416 of the family's 1533-position model. The record is from RNAcentral.